RNAcentral lists this ribosomal RNA (440 nucleotides) under uncultured bacterium. RNAcentral describes it as "partial 16S ribosomal RNA". It matches the Rfam family "Bacterial small subunit ribosomal RNA", at positions 338 to 795 of the family's 1533-position model. The record is from RNAcentral.
CCUACGGGGUGCUGCAGUGGGGAAUAUUGCACAAUGGGGGAAACCCUGAUGCAGCGACGCCGCGUGAGUGAAGAAGUAUUUCGGUACGUAAAGCUCUAUCAGCAGGGAAGAAAAUGACGGUACCUGACUAAGAAGCCCCGGCUAACUACGUGCCAGCAGCCGCGGUAAUACGUAGGGGGCAAGCGUUAUCCGGAUUUAUUGGGUGUAAAGGGAGCGUAGACGGCAGCGCAAGUCUGGAGUGAAAUCCCAUGGCUUAACCAUGGAACUGCUUUGGAAACUGUGCAGCUAGAGUGCAGGAGAGGUAAGCGGAAUUCCUAGUGUAGCGGUGAAAUGCGUAGAUAUUAGGAGGAACACCAGUGGCGAAGGCGGCUUACUGGACUGUAACUGACGUUGAGGCUCGAAAGCGUGGGGAGCAAACAGGAUUAGAUACCCGGGUAGUC